RNAcentral lists this non-coding RNA (160 nucleotides) under Anseongella ginsenosidimutans. Lineage: Bacteria; Pseudomonadati; Bacteroidota; Sphingobacteriia; Sphingobacteriales; Sphingobacteriaceae. The record is from RNAcentral.
UCCAUCGCGAGGUGGAAUCUGAAGGAAGCCGAAGGCAAAGCGCUGGCCUGACGAACAGGAAUCGCAUAGGAGGCAUACAAGCCGGACAAGGAGGCAUUUAUCAAUCCCGAUGGUGACUUUACCCAUCUUCCGAUUGGGGCCCUUUGCUCCGGAUUUUUUG